ACGUUAUUCGGAAUCACUGGGCUUAAAGGGUGCGUAGGCGGCUGUCUAAGCAGGGUGUGAAAGCCCCCGGCUCAACCGGGGAAUUGCGUUCUGAACUGGACGGCUGGAGUGGGAUAGGGGUGUGUGGAACUUCCGGUGGAGCGGUGAAAUGUGUUGAUAUCGGAAGGAACGCCGGUGGCGAAAGCGACACACUGGGUCUCAACUGACGCUGAGGCACGAAAGCCAG
This 226-nucleotide ribosomal RNA is filed under the name uncultured bacterium. RNAcentral describes it as "partial 16S ribosomal RNA". It matches the Rfam family "Bacterial small subunit ribosomal RNA", at positions 538 to 763 of the family's 1533-position model. The record is from RNAcentral.